Molecule: ribosomal RNA, 254 nt
Filed under: uncultured bacterium
Lineage: Bacteria
Description: partial 16S ribosomal RNA
Rfam family: Bacterial small subunit ribosomal RNA
Source: RNAcentral
UACAGAGGGUGCGAGCGUUAAUCGGAAUUACUGGGCGUAAAGGGUGCGUAGGCGGCGCGGUAAGUCGGGUGUGAAAUCUCGGAGCUUAACUCCGAAACUGCAUUCGAUACUGCCGUGCUUGAGGACUGGAGAGGAGACUGGAAUUUACGGUGUAGCGGUGAAAUGCGUAGAUAUCGUAAGGAAGACCAGUGGCGAAGGCGGGUCUCUGGACAGUUCCUGACGCUGAGGCACGAAGGUCAGGGGGAGCAAACGGG